CCUACGGGUGGCAGCAGUAGGGAAUAUUGGUCAAUGGAUGGAAGUCUGAACCAGCCAUGCCGCGUGCAGGAAGAAGGCCUUCUGGGUCGUAAACUGCUUUUGCCGGGGGAUAAAGGGCCCAUGCGUGGGACAUUGAAGGUACCCGGUGAAUAAGCCACGGCUAACUACGUGCCAGCAGCCGCGGUAAUACGUAGGUGGCAAGCGUUGUCCGGAUUUAUUGGGUUUAAAGGGUGCGUAGGCGGCGUAUUAAGUCAGUGCUGAAAUAUCCCGGCUUAACCGGGAGGGUGGCAUUGAUACUGAUAUGCUUGAGUGUAGUCGAGGUAGGCGGAAUUGACGGUGUAGCGGUGAAAUGCUUAGAUAUCGUCAAGAACACCGAUAGUGUAGACAGCUUACUAGGCUACAACUGACGCUGAGGCACGAAAGUGUGGGGAUCAAACAGG
RNAcentral lists this ribosomal RNA (440 nucleotides) under uncultured bacterium. RNAcentral describes it as "bacterial SSU rRNA". It matches the Rfam family "Bacterial small subunit ribosomal RNA", at positions 338 to 776 of the family's 1533-position model. The record is from RNAcentral.